UCCGGUUUGUCACCGGCAGUCUCCCUAGAGUGCCCUUGCGUAGCAACUAGGGACAAGGGUUGCGCUCGUUGCGGGUCUUAACCCAACAUCUCACGACACGAGCUGACGACAACCAUGCACCACCUGUGUAGGGCCCCGAAGGACACCGUAUCUCUACGGCUUUUCCCUACAUGUCAAGCCCAGGUAAGGUGGGGAUGACGUGUCGUUACCUUA
Molecule: unclassified non-coding RNA, 213 nt
Filed under: uncultured bacterium
Lineage: Bacteria
Description: contains 16S-23S intergenic spacer region
Source: RNAcentral